RNAcentral lists this unclassified non-coding RNA (391 nucleotides) under soil metagenome. RNAcentral's name for it is "partial contains 5.8S ribosomal RNA, internal transcribed spacer 2, and large subunit ribosomal RNA". The stretch from base 1 to 122 matches the Rfam family "5.8S ribosomal RNA", at positions 35 to 154 of the family's 154-position model. The record is from RNAcentral.
GAUGAAGAACGUAGCGAAAUGCGAUACUUGGUGUGAAUUGCAGAAUCCCAUGAACCAUCGAGUCUUUGAACGCAAGUUGCGCCCGAAGCCAUUAGGCCGAGGGCACGCCUGCCUGGGCGUCACACGUCGUUGCCCCCCCAUCUACUCCUUCGGGAUUGCGGGGGGCGGAUGAUGGCCUCCCGUGCGCCUCGUCGCGCGGUUGGCAUAAAUGCCAAGUCCUCGGCGACGCACGCCACGACAAUCGGUGGUUGCGAAACCUCGGUUGCCCGUCGUGUGCGGUCGUCGCGCAUCGAGGGCUCGAAAAAAUUGCCGGGCUCCGGCUCGGCUUUCAACGCGACCCCAGGUCAGGCGGGGUUACCCGCUGAAUUUAAGCAUAUCAAUAAGCGAAGGA